Transfer RNA from Trichoderma atroviride IMI 206040, 111 nucleotides. It matches the Rfam family "tRNA". From Rfam's summary of the family: Transfer RNA (tRNA) molecules are approximately 80 nucleotides in length. The record is from Rfam. NCBI's taxonomy places the organism in Eukaryota, Fungi, Ascomycota, Sordariomycetes, Hypocreales, Hypocreaceae.
GUCUUCGUGGCGCAGUUGGCUAGCGCGUCAGUCUCAUAUUGAUACAUCUAUAUGAUCUAGACAUUAGUCUGGGCCAUCUGAAGGUCGUGAGUUCGAGCCUCACCGAGGACA